GACGAACCGUGCGAACGUUGUUCGGAGUCACUGGGCUUAAAGGGCGCGUAGGCGGCCGGGUUGGUCGUGGGUGAAAUCCCCCAGCUUAACUGGGGAAUUGCCUACGAUACUGCCUGGCUCGAGGGAGGAAGGGGCAGCCGGAACUGUCGGUGGAGCGGUGAAAUGCGUUGAGAUCGACAGGAACGCCGGUGGCGAAAGCGGGCCGCUGGCCCUCUUCUGACGCUGAUGCGCGAAAGCCAGGGGAGCGAACGGG
RNAcentral lists this ribosomal RNA (253 nucleotides) under uncultured bacterium. RNAcentral's name for it is "partial 16S ribosomal RNA". It matches the Rfam family "Bacterial small subunit ribosomal RNA", at positions 524 to 776 of the family's 1533-position model. The record is from RNAcentral.